RNAcentral lists this transfer RNA (89 nucleotides) under Perca fluviatilis (European perch). It matches the Rfam family "tRNA". Rfam says of the family: Transfer RNA (tRNA) molecules are approximately 80 nucleotides in length. Their secondary structure includes four short double-helical elements and three loops (D, anti-codon, and T loops). Lineage: Eukaryota; Metazoa; Chordata; Actinopteri; Perciformes; Percidae. RNAcentral also lists the same sequence under 1 other name. The record is from Rfam by way of RNAcentral.
CCUUCGAUAGCUCAGUUGGUAGAGCGGAGGACUGUAGGUUGAUCAUAGCAGUUAUCCUUAGGUCGCUGGUUCAACUCCGGCUCGAAGGA